GUCGAGCGGACAGAAGGGAGCUUGCUCCCGGAUGUUAGCGGCGGACGGGUGAGUAACACGUGGGUAACCUGCCUGUAAGACUGGGAUAACUCCGGGAAACCGGAGCUAAUACCGGAUAGUUCCUUGAACCGCAUGGUUCAAGGAUGAAAGACGGUUUCGGCUGUCACUUACAGAUGGACCCGCGGCGCAUUAGCUAGUUGGUGGGGUAAUGGCUCACCAAGGCGACGAUGCGUAGCCGACCUGAGAGGGUGAUCGGCCACACUGGGACUGAGACACGGCCCAGACUCCUACGGGAGGCAGCAGUAGGGAAUCUUCCGCAAUGGACGAAAGUCUGACGGAGCAACGCCGCGUGAGUGAUGAAGGUUUUCGGAUCGUAAAGCUCUGUUGUUAGGGAAGAACAAGUGCGAGAGUAACUGCUCGCACCUUGACGGUACCUAACCAGAAAGCCACGGCUAACUACGUGCCAGCAGCCGCGGUAAUACGUAGGUGGCAAGCGUUGUCCGGAAUUAUUGGGCGUAAAGGGCUCGCAGGCGGUUUCUUAAGUCUGAUGUGAAAGCCCCCGGCUCAACCGGGGAGGGUCAUUGGAAACUGGGAAACUUGAGUGCAGAAGAGGAGAGUGAAUUCCACGUGUAGCGUGAAAUGCGUAGAGAUGUGGAGGAACACCAGUGGCGAA
Molecule: ribosomal RNA, 673 nt
Filed under: Bacillus zhangzhouensis
Lineage: Bacteria; Bacillati; Bacillota; Bacilli; Caryophanales; Bacillaceae
Description: bacterial SSU rRNA
Rfam family: Bacterial small subunit ribosomal RNA
Source: RNAcentral